Rhagoletis pomonella (apple maggot) is the source of this 78-nucleotide small nucleolar RNA. RefSeq annotates it as small nucleolar RNA Me28S-Cm2645. NCBI's taxonomy places the organism in Eukaryota, Metazoa, Arthropoda, Insecta, Diptera, Tephritidae. The record is from RefSeq and is a predicted model, not a curated record. The transcript has a single exon.
UGAAAAGUGAUGAAAUUUUUUGAUAGGGACAUCUGAAAAUCUAUGAAAGAUUUAUCAUUUUUAAAAUAUACUGAUCUA